UUCCUCAUAGUUCAGUGGAUAGAACACGGGUUUCCGGAACCCACAACGUAGGUUCGAUUCCUACUGAGGGCG
RNAcentral lists this transfer RNA (72 nucleotides) under Parcubacteria group bacterium ADurb.Bin326. RNAcentral's name for it is "tRNA-Arg". It matches the Rfam family "tRNA". From Rfam's summary of the family: Transfer RNA (tRNA) molecules are approximately 80 nucleotides in length. The record is from RNAcentral.